UACAUGGGGUGCAAACGUUGCUCGGAAUUAUUGGGCGUAAAGCGCGCGCAGGUGGUUUCUUAAGUCUGAUGUGAAAGCCCACGGCUCAACCGUGGAGGGUCAUUGGAAACUGGGGAACUUGAGUGCAGAAGAGGAAAGUGGAAUUCCAAGUGUAGCGGUGAAAUGCGUAGAGAUUUGGAGGAACACCAGUGGCGAAGGCGACUUUCUGGUCUGUAACUGACACUGAGGCGCGAAAGCGUGGGGAGCGAACAGG
Molecule: ribosomal RNA, 253 nt
Filed under: uncultured bacterium
Lineage: Bacteria
Description: partial 16S ribosomal RNA
Rfam family: Bacterial small subunit ribosomal RNA
Source: RNAcentral